GUGGGGAAUCUUGCACAAUGGGGGCAACCCUGAUGCAGCGACGCCGCGUGAGUGAUGAAGCCCUUCGGGGUGUAAAGCUCUUUCGACGGGAACGAUAAUGACGGUACCCGGAGAAGAAGCUGCGGCUAACUACGUGCCAGCAGCCGCGGUAAUACGUAGGCAGCAAGCGUUGUUCGGAGUUACUGGGCGUAAAGAGUGUGUAGGCGGUUCGCUAAGUUCGGUGUGAAAUCUCCCGGCUUAACUGGGAGGGUGCGCCGGAAACUGGCGGGCUAGAGUGUGGGAGAGGGAAGCGGAAUUCCUGGUGUAGCGGUGAAAUGCGUAGAUAUCAGGAGGAACACCGGUGGUGUAGACGGCUUCCUGGACCACAACUGACGCUGAGACACGAAAGCGUGGGGAGCAA
Molecule: ribosomal RNA, 400 nt
Filed under: uncultured bacterium
Lineage: Bacteria
Description: bacterial SSU rRNA
Rfam family: Bacterial small subunit ribosomal RNA
Source: RNAcentral